GACGAACGCUGGCGGCGUGCUUAACACAUGCAAGUCGAACGGAAAGGCCCUACUUGUUUGGGGUGCUCGAGUGGCGAACGGGUGAGUAACACGUGAGUAACCUGCCCUUGACUUUGGGAUAACUUCAGGAAACUGGGGCUAAUACCGGAUAGGAGCUCCUGCUGCAGGGUGGGGGUGGGAAAGUUGCGGCGGUUGGGGAUGGACUCGCGGCUUAUCAGCUUGUUGGUGGGGUAGUGGCUUACCAAGGCUUUGACGGGUAGCCGGCCUGAGAGGGUGACCGGCGACGUUGGGACUGAGAGAGGGCCCAGACUCCUACAGGAGGCAGCAGUGGGGAAUCUUGCACAGUGGGAGGAAGCCUGAUGCAGCAACGCCGCGUGCGGGAUGACGGCCUUCGGGUUGUAAACCGCUUCCGGCUGUGACGACGCGUGAGUGACGGUAAUGAGUAAAGAAGCACCGGCUAACUACGUG
Molecule: ribosomal RNA, 468 nt
Filed under: uncultured bacterium
Lineage: Bacteria
Description: partial 16S ribosomal RNA
Rfam family: Bacterial small subunit ribosomal RNA
Source: RNAcentral